Molecule: ribosomal RNA, 468 nt
Filed under: uncultured bacterium
Lineage: Bacteria
Description: partial 16S ribosomal RNA
Rfam family: Bacterial small subunit ribosomal RNA
Source: RNAcentral
GACGAACGCUGGCGGCGUGCUUAACACAUGCCAGUCGAACGGAAAGGCCCUGCUUUUGUGGGGUGCUCGAGUGGCGAACGGGUGAGUAACACGUGAGUAACCUGCCCUUGACUUUGGGAUAACUUCAGGAAACUGGGGCUAAUACCGGAUAGGAGCUCCUGCUGCAUGGUGGGGGUUGGAAAGUUUCGGCGGUUGGGGAUGGACUCGCGGCUUAUCAGCUAGUUGGUGGGGUAGUGGCUUACCAAGGCUUUGACGGGUAGCCGGCCUGAGAGGGUGACCGGCCACAAUGGGCCUGAGAUACGGACCAGACUCCUACGGGAGGCAGCAGUGGGGAAUAUUGCACAAUGGGCGGAAGCCUGAUGCAGCAACGCCGCGGUCGGGAUGACGGCCUUCGGGGUGUAAACCGCUUUCGCCUGUGACGAAGCGGGAGUGACGGUAAUGGGUAAAGAAGCACCGGCUAACUACGUG